This 498-nucleotide ribosomal RNA is filed under the name uncultured bacterium. RNAcentral's name for it is "partial 16S ribosomal RNA". It matches the Rfam family "Bacterial small subunit ribosomal RNA", at positions 28 to 507 of the family's 1533-position model. The record is from RNAcentral.
GACGAACGCUGGCGGCGUGCCUAAUACAUGCAAGUCGAGCGGACGAUUCGAAAGCUUGCUUUUGAAUCGUUAGCGGCGGACGGGUGAGUAACACGUGGGCAACCUGCCCUGUAGACGGGGAUAACAACGAGAAAUCGGUGCUACUAACGGAUAACACGAAAUGUCGCAUGACGUUUCGUUGAAAGGCGGCGCAAGCUUCCGCUACAGGUUGGGCCCGCGGCGCAUUAGCUAGUUGGUGAGGUAACGGCUAACCAAGGCGACGAUGCGUAGCCGACCUGAGGGGGUGAUCGGCCACACUGGGACGGAGACACGGCCCAGACUCCUACGGGAGGCGGCAGUAGGGAAUCUUCCGCAAUGGACGAAAGUCUGACGGAGCAACGCCGCGUGAGCGAAGAAGGCCUUCGGGUCGUAAAGCUCUGUUGUUAGGGAAGAACAAGUAACGUAGUAACUGACGUUACUAUGACGGUACCUAACGAGAAAGCCACGGCUAACUACGUG